This 975-nucleotide ribosomal RNA is filed under the name Streptococcus mutans N29. RNAcentral's name for it is "bacterial LSU rRNA". It matches the Rfam family "Bacterial large subunit ribosomal RNA", at positions 1 to 983 of the family's 2925-position model. The record is from RNAcentral. Lineage: Bacteria; Bacillati; Bacillota; Bacilli; Lactobacillales; Streptococcaceae.
AGGUUAAGUUAAUAAGGGCGCACGGUGGAUGCCUAGGCACUAGGAGCCGAUGAAGGACGUGACGAACGACGACAUGCUUUGGGGAGCUGUAAGUAAGCCUUGAUCCAGAGAUAUCCGAAUGGGGGAACCCAACAGGUAAUGCCUGUUAUCCAUAACUGUUAAGGUUAUGAGAAGGAAGACGCAGUGAACUGAAACAUCUCAGUAGCUGCAGGAAGAGAAAGCAAGAGCGAUUGCCUCAGUAGCGGCGAGCGAAGAGGCAGGAGGGCAAACCAGAGUGUUUACACUCUGGGGUUGUAGGACUGCGAUAAAGCAGCCAAGGGAAUAGAAGAAGACUCUGGGAAGAGUCGCCAGAGAGAGUAAGAGCCUCGUAUUUGAAAUUCACUUGAUGCCAAGCAGGAUCCUGAGUACGGCGGGACACGAGGAAUCCCGUCGGAAUCUGGGAGGCCCAUCUCCCAACCCUAAAUACUCCCUAGUGACCGAUAGUGAACCAGUACCGUGAGGGAAAGGUGAAAAGUACCCCGGAAGGGGAGUGAAAGAGAACCUGAAACCGUGUGCUUACAAGAAGUUCGAGCCCGUUAAUGGGUGAGAGCGUGCCUUUUGUAGAAUGAACCGGCGAGUUACGUUUACGUGCGAGGUUAAGUUGAAGAGACGGAGCCGUAGGGAAACCGAGUCUGAAAAGGGCGGUUAAGUACGUAGAUGUAGACCCGAAACCAAGUGACCUACCCAUGAGCAGGUUGAAGGUGCGGUAAAACGCACUGGAGGACCGAACCAGGACACGUUGAAAAGUGUUUGGAUGACUUGUGGGUAGCGGAGAAAUUCCAAACGAACUUGGAGAUAGCUGGUUCUCUCCGAAAUAGCUUUAGGGCUAGCGUCGGUCGCGAGACUCUUGGAGGUAGAGCACUGUUUGAUUGAGGGGUCCAUCCCGGAUUACCAAUCUCAGAUAAACUCCGAAUGCCAACGAGUUAAGACCGGCAG